CGCGGGGUAGAGCAGAGGCAGCUCGUCGGGCUCAUAACCCGGAGGUCGCAGGUUCGAAUCCUGUCCCCGCUA
RNAcentral lists this transfer RNA (72 nucleotides) under Anaerolineales bacterium. Its description in RNAcentral is "tRNA-Met". It matches the Rfam family "tRNA". Rfam says of the family: Transfer RNA (tRNA) molecules are approximately 80 nucleotides in length. Their secondary structure includes four short double-helical elements and three loops (D, anti-codon, and T loops). RNAcentral also lists the same sequence under 1 other name. Lineage: Bacteria; Bacillati; Chloroflexota; Anaerolineae; Anaerolineales. The record is from RNAcentral.